UAGGCGUAAAUGAUGCGAGUUAAGUGUGGGGGCAUCUACGAGAUGGCCCUGUGCUGUAGGGUAGCCGUUAAACUCGCUGCCUGGGGAGUACGGUCGCAAGGCUGAAACUUAAAGGAAUUGGCGGGGGAGCACCGCAACGGGAGGAGCGUGCGGUUCAAUUGGAUUCAACGCCGGACAACUCACCAGGAGCGACGGUUACAUGAAGGCCAGGCUGAUGACCUUGCCUGAUUUUCCGAGAGGUGGUGCAUGGCGUAGUCGUGU
Molecule: ribosomal RNA, 261 nt
Filed under: uncultured archaeon
Lineage: Archaea
Description: partial 16S ribosomal RNA
Rfam family: Archaeal small subunit ribosomal RNA
Source: RNAcentral